RNAcentral lists this transfer RNA (89 nucleotides) under Pseudomonadota bacterium. RNAcentral's name for it is "Proteobacteria bacterium (marine sediment metagenome) tRNA-Ser". It matches the Rfam family "tRNA". Rfam says of the family: Transfer RNA (tRNA) molecules are approximately 80 nucleotides in length. Their secondary structure includes four short double-helical elements and three loops (D, anti-codon, and T loops). Lineage: Bacteria; Pseudomonadati; Pseudomonadota. The record is from RNAcentral.
GGAGAGAUGCCCGAGCUGGCCGAAGGGGCACGAUUGGAAAUCGUGUGUUCCGUAACGCGGGACCGUGGGUUCGAAUCCCACUCUCUCCG